UUAAUGGAUAGCCUACAAAGAAGAAAUGUGUAUGUUGGACCAAAAAUUUCAUUGAAAGGCAUUUGCUUGACCCAUUUUCCAUUGGGAUUUACAGAAUAGGUCACGUUACGGAUUUGAGGUUGAUUGUGUAACGAAUACAAAACAGUUAAGGAGUUUUCUGUGCAUUCUGAAAAAGGAGAAUUAAAAAACUACGUAGCAGAGAAUUUACUAGAAGACACUAGAAGACAAUUCACUAAAGUGCUGUCCAUCUCUAUCCAUGUCUUACAGAUUAUUCUAGUUCAUGUCAAACUCCUCUACAUCAAAAGUGCUCCACAUGGACAGGUUUCUAACCUAUGAAGCUCAAACACGCCUCUUAAAUGGUGUGCCCUUGUGUUUGACACGUAUUGGACACAAACACUCGUAGGACAUAGUGAGAUUCUGAGACGGAAGGCACAUACUCCUACUACGUUUAUAGGCCCAUCUACUGGGUAAGUUCAACCUAUUUUAUUUGAAUUGCCAAUUUGGAGAAAUGUGUUCUAACAUUGAUUCUCACGUUAGAUGUUGAAUGUUUCAACAAUAAAUCACCUCGUAUCUAUUUUUGGCUAAGAAGAUAGUUAUGAUGGGGAAGAAUGCGGCAGGGUUAAGGGUUAUGAGGUUUUUACUUAUAACUGAUUUAGCUGUCUUAGUGCUGGUUAAAAGUUGGAAUAGCUACAUCUCUCAUUUAUUUUCAUGAUUAAAAGUUGUUAAGUGUUUGUUUUGAUAAAGUUCAACUUUUGUUUGUUCAUCCUGUUGAGUUUCCCUGUGAGCAUAUUUUUUUUUUUUUUUCUUUUUUUCCAUAGGCCUGAUAUGCUUUUCUGUGAGAUUUUUUGUAUGACUUAUGCGAGUCCUUUUGUUUGACUCUCGAGUUAACAGAUUCACGGAGUUGAGACUGGUUAUCAGGCUAGCUCCAAUGGUCUUUAUUUCUUUAUUAUUUCACUAGUUUACUUGUGUUGUGGAAACUUGGAACAACAAUAUAGAUGGCAGAAGAUAUUAAAAUCAAGUCAUUAGGGUGGAGACGAGGAAAUUUAGUAGCAACACAUCUAUAUAAAUGUCCAAGCCUUAUCUUCGUUGAAUUGAGAAUAAAAUGAUUGUGAUUUUAUUUAUGUUACAAACAAGAGCAUUCCGUAAUGUAGGGAAGUGAAGUGUUUACGGGGCCAAAAAAGAUUUUACAAUUUGUAAUGUGAACUGGUUUCUUGUUGGUAUUUUACUACAUAUGUUUUCUCUCUUUUUUCGGUUGACAAAUGCUGAGGUUCUGAAUCAAGGUAUUAGAAAACAGCACAAUCAAAGAGAGAAAUGAAGAGGUGUUGCAUAUGUUUGGAUUUGUUGUGACGUGCGAAAAAUGUAUGUGGAAAGUGCAUGCAGAUUAUCCCUUCGAGGGCUUGAGCAUAAGAAGCAGGACAAAUGUCCAUCUUACAUUACAGCAACAAGACAGCUCUAUUUUGUUAUCAUAAUAUUGUUAAUUUUAUGACUAUUUUGUUUAGAAGAUCAAGUUUAUUAGAUCUGUUCCUAUAUUAUUCAGAUACUAUAAGUAUAUGAUUUAGCUGCCGAAUUAUCUGCUAUUGCGAUACUUA
Long non-coding RNA from Vigna radiata var. radiata (mung bean), 1589 nucleotides. RefSeq lists it as uncharacterized. The transcript has 2 exons. The record is from RefSeq and is a predicted model, not a curated record. NCBI's taxonomy places the organism in Eukaryota, Viridiplantae, Streptophyta, Magnoliopsida, Fabales, Fabaceae.